Molecule: ribosomal RNA, 182 nt
Filed under: uncultured Streptomyces sp.
Lineage: Bacteria; Bacillati; Actinomycetota; Actinomycetes; Kitasatosporales; Streptomycetaceae
Description: partial 16S ribosomal RNA
Rfam family: Bacterial small subunit ribosomal RNA
Source: RNAcentral
ACUCCUACGGGAGGCAGCAGUGGGGAAUAUUGCACAAUGGGCGAUAGCCUGAUGCAGCGACGCCGCGUGAGGGAUGACGGCCUUCGGGUUGUAAACCUCUUUCAGCAGGGAAGAAGUACCGCGAAAGUGACGGUACUUGCAGAAGAAGCGCCGGCUAACUACGUGCCAGCAGCCGCGGUAAU